This 470-nucleotide ribosomal RNA is filed under the name Bacteroidetes bacterium oral taxon 272. RNAcentral describes it as "bacterial SSU rRNA". It matches the Rfam family "Bacterial small subunit ribosomal RNA", at positions 28 to 488 of the family's 1533-position model. Lineage: Bacteria; Pseudomonadati; Bacteroidota. The record is from RNAcentral.
GAUGAACGCUAGCUACAGGCUUAACACAUGCAAGUCGUGGGGCAUCAUGAUGUAGUAAUACAUUGAUGGCGACCGGCGCACGGGUGAGUAACGCGUAUCCAACCUACCCUCCACUCAAGUAUAGGCUUCCGAAAGGGAGAUUAAUCCUUGAUAUCGUCAUUCUCUCUCCUGUUAGAAUGAUAAAAGGACAUCGUUUCGGUAGAGGAUGGGGAUGCGUUCCAUUAGGUAGUAGGUGGUUUAACAGGCCACCUAGCCGAUGAUGGAUAGGGGUUCUGAGAGGAAUAUCCCCCACACUGGUACUGAGAUACGGACCAGACUCCUACGGGAGGCAGCAGUGAGGAAUAUUGGUCAAUGGGCGCAAGCCUGAACCAGCCAUGUAGCGUGAAGGAUGACGGUUUUUUUGAUUGUAAACUUCUUUUCUGUGCGAUUAAAGUGUGGCAUUUAUGCCAUAUGGCAGUAUCUCAGGAAUA